This 852-nucleotide ribosomal RNA is filed under the name uncultured Sebacinales. RNAcentral describes it as "eukaryotic LSU rRNA". The stretch from base 203 to 852 matches the Rfam family "Eukaryotic large subunit ribosomal RNA", at positions 1 to 627 of the family's 3401-position model. Lineage: Eukaryota; Fungi; Basidiomycota; Agaricomycetes; Sebacinales. The record is from RNAcentral.
CACCCCAAGAUUCUUGUCGAGGGGAUCGUGGAUCUGGAUGCUGCCGUGUAAUGACGGCUCGUCCGAAAUGUAUGAGUGUAACCUGCAGAUCAGUGUUAUCUGACGUGAUAAGCAUCUUCGUCGGAGUCGAGGGAACCAACCUUGGCACUGUGUCCGUGGGCUCUAUGCUGCAAAUCGUCCUCGGACAAAUCUUUUGACAAUUUGGCCUCAGAUCGGGUGGGACUACCCGCUGAACUUAAGCAUAUCAAUAAGCGGAGGAAAAGAAACUAACAAGGAUUCCCCUAGUAACGGCGAGUGAAGAGGGAUGAGCUCAAAUUUUGAAUCUGGCGUCCCCGGGCGUCCGAGUUGUAAUCUAGAGAAGUGUUUUCCGCGUCGGACCGUGCACAAGUUCCCUGGAACGGGGCGUCAUAGAGGGUGAGAAUCCCGUAUAUGGCACGGAUUACCUUUGCUUCAUGUGAUACACUCUCGACGAGUCGAGUUGUUUGGGAAUGCAGCUCAAAAUGGGUGGUAAAUUCCAUCUAAAGCUAAAUAUUGGCGAGAGACCGAUAGCGAACAAGUACCGCGAGGGAAAGAUGAAAAGCACUUUGGAAAGAGAGUGAAACAGUACGUGAAAUUGUUGGAAGGGAAGCGUUUGAAGUCAGUCGCACCCCUCUGGACUCAGCCGUGGCUUCUGCUCGGUGUACUUCCUGUUGGGUGGGUCAGCGUCAGUUUGGACCAAGGGAGAAAGGUUGGAGGAAUGUGGCAGUCUUCGGGCUGUGUUAUAGCCUCCUACUGUAUGCCUUGGCCCGGACUGAGGACGGCAGCGCGCCUUUUUGGCCGGGGUUCGCGCCCUCGGUACGCGCUUAGGAUGCU